RNAcentral lists this ribosomal RNA (494 nucleotides) under uncultured bacterium. RNAcentral describes it as "bacterial SSU rRNA". It matches the Rfam family "Bacterial small subunit ribosomal RNA", at positions 899 to 1397 of the family's 1533-position model. The record is from RNAcentral.
ACUCAAAGGAAUUGACGGGGACCCGCACAAGCAGUGGAGUAUGUGGUUUAAUUCGAAGCAACGCGAAGAACCUUACCAGGGCUUGACAUGGGGACGACAGGCAUAGAGAUAUGCCCUUCUUCGGACGUCCCACACAGGUGGUGCAUGGUUGUCGUCAGCUCGUGUCGUGAGAUGUUGGGUUAAGUCCCGCAACGAGCGCAACCCUUAUUGCUAGUUGCUACCAUUAAGUUGAGCACUCUAGCGAGACUGCCGGUGACAAAUCGGAGGAAGGUGGGGACGACGUCAAAUCAUCAUGCCCCUUAUGUCCUGGGCUACACACGUACUACAAUGGUCGUGACAACGGGCAGCUAAGCCGCGAGGUGGAGCAAAUCCCCAAACACGACCUCAGUUCAGAUUGCAGGCUGCAACUCGCCUGCAUGAAGUAGGAAUUGCUAGUAAUCGCGAAUCAGCAUGUCGCGGUGAAUACGUUCCCGGGUCUUGUACACACCGCCCGU